CUACGGGGCGCUGCAGUAGGGAAUCUUGCGCAAUGGGCGAAAGCCUGACGCAGCCAUGCCGCGUGAAUGAUGAAGGUCUUAGGAUUGUAAAAUUCUUUCACCGGGGACGAUAAUGACGGUACCCGGAGAAGAAGCUCCGGCUAACUUCGUGCCAGCAGCCGCGGUAAUACGAAGGGGGCUAGCGUUGCUCGGAAUUACUGGGCGUAAAGGGCGCGUAGGCGGACAGUUUAGUCAGAGGUGAAAGCCCAGGGCUCAACCUUGGAAUAGCCUUUGAUACUGGCUGUCUUGAGUGCGGGAGAGGUGUGUGGAACUCCGAGUGUAGAGGUGAAAUUCGUAGAUAUUCGGAAGAACACCAGUGGCGAAGGCGACACACUGGCCCGUUACUGACGCUGAGGCGCGAAAGCGUGGGGAGCAAACAGGAUUAGAUACCCCCGUAGUC
This 439-nucleotide ribosomal RNA is filed under the name uncultured bacterium. RNAcentral describes it as "partial 16S ribosomal RNA". It matches the Rfam family "Bacterial small subunit ribosomal RNA", at positions 339 to 795 of the family's 1533-position model. The record is from RNAcentral.